RNAcentral lists this long non-coding RNA (1479 nucleotides) under Macaca fascicularis (crab-eating macaque). Its description in RNAcentral is "lncRNA (ENSMFAG00000061898.1)". The record is from RNAcentral. Lineage: Eukaryota; Metazoa; Chordata; Mammalia; Primates; Cercopithecidae.
UUUUUUUUUUUUUUUUUUUUUGAGACGGAGUCAUGCUCUGUCGCCCAGGCUGGAGUGCAGUGGCCGGAUCUCAGCUCACUGCAAGCUCCGCCUCCAGGGUUCACGCCAUUCUCCUGCCUCAGCCUCCCAAGUAGCUGGGACUACAGGCUCGCCCACCGCCCGGCUAGUUUUUUUGUAUUUUUUAGUAGAGACGGGGUUUCACCGUGUUAGCCAGGAUGGUCUCGAUCUCCUGACCUCGUGAUCCGCCCGUCUCGGCCUCCCAAAGUGCUGGGAUUACAGGCUUGAGCCACCGCGCCCGGCCGACUUUUUUUUUAGACAGUCUCCCUCUGUCACUCAGACUGGACUGCAGUGGUGUCAUCUCAGCUCACUGCAACCUCCGCCCCUCAGGUUCAAGCGAUUCUUGAUUCUCGUGCCUCAGCCUCCCGAGUAACUGGGAUCAGAUGACAGGCAUGAGCCACCAUGCUAAUUUUUGUAUUUUUUGUAGAGACAGGAUUCGCCAUGUUGGCCAGGAUGGUCUCAAACUCCUGGUCUCAAGUGAGCCACCCGCCUCGGCCUCUCAAAGUGCUGAGAUUACAGACGUGAGCCACCGUGGGCAGCCCAUUAUAAUUCUUUCUUUCUUCCUUUUUUUUUUUUUUUUAGAUGGAGUCUCACUCUUGUUGCCCAGGCUAGAGUGCAGUGGGGCACAAUCUCGACUCACUACAACCUCUGCCUCCCGGGUUCAAGAGUUUCUACUGCCUCAGCCUCUGGAGUAGCUGGGAGUACAGGUGCCCACCACCAUGCCCAGCUAGUUUUUGUACUUUGAGUAGAGAUGGGUUUUGCCAUGUUGGCCAGGAUGGUCUGACCUCAGGUGAUCUGCCCACCUUGGCCUCCCAAAGUGCUGGGAUUACAGGUGUGAGCCAUUGCGCCCGGCCAUAAUUAUUUCUUUAUAGCCAAUAUGCAUUUAUUUUUACCCAUAUUUUUACCAUUUUUGUCUUCAUUCUUUCUAUUUGGGAUAAUUUCCCUUGUGCCUGAAGAACCGUUAUAAUAUUUCCUUUAGUGUAAAUUGCUGGUGGCAAAUUUUCUUAGUUUUGAAUGUCCCAAAAUAUUUUGCAUUUAAUUUCACUCUUGAAGUAUACUUUAGCUGAAUUGAAAAUUUUAGGUUUCCUGAAUUUUUUUUUUUUUUGAGAUGGAGUCUUGCUCUGUCGCCCAGGCUGGAGUGCAGUGGUGCGAUCUUGGCUCACUGCAACCUCCGCUUCCCGGGUUCAAGUGAUUCUUCUCCUGCCUCAGCCUCCUGAGUAGCCAGGAUUACAGGCACGGGCCACCAUGCCCAGCUAAUUCUUGUAUUUUUAGUAGAGACAGGGUUUUACCAUGUUGGGCAGGCUGGUCUCGAACUCCUGACCUCGUGAUCUGCCUGCCUUGCCCUCCCAAACUGCUGGGAUUACAGGCGUGAGCCACUGCGCCCGGCCUGAAUUUUUAAAAAUUAAAAAAUAUCAUUCACUU